AUACGUAGGUGGCAAGCGUUGUCCGGAAUUAUUGGGCGUAAAGCGCAUGUAGGCGGUGCCUUAGGUCUGUCGUGAAACUGCGGGGCCUCACCCCGUAUGGCGAUGGAAACUGUGGCACUUGAGUGCAGGAGAGGAAAGGGGAACUCCCAGUGUAGCGGUGAAACGCGUAGAUAUUGGGAAGAACACCGGUGGCGAAGGCGCCUUUCUGGACUGUGUCUGACGCUGAGAUGCGAAAGCCAGGGUUGCGAACGGGAUUAGAUACCCCGGUAGUCCUGGCCGUAAACGAUGGGUACUAGGUGUGGGAGGUAUCGACCCCUUCCGUGCCGGAGUUAACGCAAUAAGUACCCCGCCUGGGGAGUACGGCCGCAAGGUUGAAACUCAAAUGAAUUGGCGGGG
Molecule: ribosomal RNA, 396 nt
Filed under: uncultured bacterium
Lineage: Bacteria
Description: partial 16S ribosomal RNA
Rfam family: Bacterial small subunit ribosomal RNA
Source: RNAcentral